This is a small nuclear RNA of Lactuca sativa (garden lettuce), 101 nucleotides long. NCBI's taxonomy places the organism in Eukaryota, Viridiplantae, Streptophyta, Magnoliopsida, Asterales, Asteraceae. The record is from RefSeq and is a predicted model, not a curated record.
AACCAAUUUUGGGACGUCCGAUAAAAUUGGAAUGACGCAAAGAAGAUUAACAUGACCCUACAAGGAUGCCACACAUAAAUCGAAAAAUGGUCCAUUUUUUA